This is a long non-coding RNA of Capsicum annuum, 952 nucleotides long. RefSeq lists it as uncharacterized. The record is from RefSeq and is a predicted model, not a curated record. The transcript is spliced from 3 exons. Lineage: Eukaryota; Viridiplantae; Streptophyta; Magnoliopsida; Solanales; Solanaceae.
GUCACUUGAGAAGUGGAUUAGCGACUUGAAAAUGGUUUAGUGUAGUUCUUGAAAGGUUAACUUGUGUUUUGAAAUUAGUUAAGUGUAAUCACUUGAAAAUGUGAAUUAGAGAGUUGAAAAUUGUUAAGUGUAGUGUUUCAAAAUGUGCACUAGUGGCUUCAAAUUGACCAAGUGUAGUCACUUGAGAAGUGAAUUAGCGACUUGAAAAUGGUUUAGUGUAGUUACUUGAAAGGUACAGUUGUGUUUUGAAAUUAGUAAAGUGUAAUCACUUGAAAGUGUGAAUUCAUGACUUGAAAUUGAUUUAGUUUAGUCACUUGAGAAGUGAAUUAGAGAAUUAAAAAUGGUUAAGUUUAGUGUUUUGAAAUGUAUACUACUGGCUUCAAAACGAUCAAGUCACCUCCACCUCCACCUCCACUUCCACCUUCUCCUCUACCUCCUCCUAUAGAAUAAGAUAUUGAUGCAGAUUUGAUUGGUCUAGUUCCCAAAGAUACAGACAUACUUGGUAGAGUGUUCAUCGAGCCUGAUGAAUUUUCGUGGUAUUCCGCAUCAAAAGAAGUUAAUGAGGCUGUAAGGGAGAGUGUUAUGAGACUUUUUACAUAUCCUUGGUACGAGUGGUGGGACAUUCCAAUAGUCUCUAAACUAGCCAUGUUUCAAGAGUUUAAGACAAUGUGUUGUUGGUUGGUAAAGCACGAUCAGGCUAUUUCUAUAAUUUUUGAGAGACAUGCUGUUAUGUCAUAUCAAAUUGCACAUCUUACGCGUGCCUUGACACAGGCCGCUGCUCCUGAUUCAAGUAGCGAAGAGGAAAUAGAGAGUGAUAAGGAGUUUGUUGGGGCUACUCCUUAAUGUUGUUAGACUUGACUUUUAAAUAAUUUUUAGAUAUUUUUUAACUUAUCUUUUAAUUAGUGAAAAAUCUUUAGGAGUGUUUAAGUAUUUUGAAUGUUGUUGGAUUCAU